Non-coding RNA from Gossypium hirsutum (cotton), 146 nucleotides. Lineage: Eukaryota; Viridiplantae; Streptophyta; Magnoliopsida; Malvales; Malvaceae. The record is from Rfam.
UAUUAAAAAUUUUCUUCCAUUUGUACUGUUACAAACUGGCAUGAUUGAUGGAAUAACCAAACAAUGACAUGUGAUAUUCCUCGUGUACCUCAUGCUGACGUACAUGGAUCAGUUUUUAACCAUGAAAAUGGAUGAAAUUUUUAUCA